AGCUCCGGCGGGCAUAGGAUGGGCUGCGGCGUAUCAGGUAGUAGGGGGUGUAACGUACCCUCUAGCCCUCUACGCGUACGGGUGUUGGGAGACAUAGCCCGGAGAUGGAUUCUGAGACACGAAUCCAGACCCUACGGGGUGCAGCAGGCGCGAAAACUUGGCAAUGCGAGAAAUCGUGACCAGGGAACUCCAAGUGCAUCGGGUAAGACCGGUGCUUUUCUUGACUCUAAAUAGGUCUUGGAAUAAGGGGUGGGUAAGGACGGUGCCAGCCGCCGCGGUAAUACCGGCGCCUCAAGUGGUAGUCGCUUUUAUUGGGCCUAAAACGUCCGUAGCCGGUCUGAUACAUUCGUGGGUAAAUCAACCAGCUCAACUGGUUGAAUUCUGCGAGGACGGUCAGACUUGGGACCGGGAGAGGUGUGGGGUACGCUCAGGGUAGGGGUAAAAUCCUGUCAUCCUGAGCGGACCACCUGUUGCGAAGGCGCCACACUAGAACGGAUCCGACGGUCAGGGACGAAGCCUAGGGGCACGAACCGGAUUAGAUACCCGGGUAGUCCUAGGUGUAAACGCUGUGGACUUGGUGUUGGGAAGGUUCCGAGCCUUCUCAGUGCCGAAGCGAAGGUGAUAAGUCCACUGCCUGGGGAGUACGGUCGCAAGGCUGAAACUUAAAGGAAUUGGCGGGGGAGCACCGCAACCUGAGGAUUGUGCGGUUUAAUUGGAUUCAACGCCGGG
This 729-nucleotide ribosomal RNA is filed under the name uncultured euryarchaeote. Its description in RNAcentral is "bacterial SSU rRNA". It matches the Rfam family "Archaeal small subunit ribosomal RNA", at positions 192 to 922 of the family's 1478-position model. The record is from RNAcentral. Lineage: Archaea; Methanobacteriati; Methanobacteriota.